This 439-nucleotide unclassified non-coding RNA is filed under the name Bifidobacterium thermacidophilum subsp. thermacidophilum. RNAcentral's name for it is "partial 16S-23S ribosomal RNA". Lineage: Bacteria; Bacillati; Actinomycetota; Actinomycetes; Bifidobacteriales; Bifidobacteriaceae. The record is from RNAcentral.
CCUUUCUACGGAGAAUUGUUUUGUUGCCUGGCAUGGUGCCUGGGGGUUUGUUCCCGGGGUGCCGGGCGUGCUGGCGUGGAAGGGUCGUUGCGCCUCCCUUGUGGGGGCGGGUAUGGGCAUGCUGUUGGGUUCCCUGGCCGCCACGGCCCUUCUUGUGUGGGGGGUUGGCGUUCGGGUGCCCGCCAUGGGUUCCUUCCCGGGUGUUCCGGGUCGGGGUGUGUGGUGUGGCGUGGUGGUUUGAGAACUGGAGAGUGGACGCGAGCGGACCGCGUGGCCGCCCCUUUGGGGGGUGGCUGGUCGUGGUCUGCUUGUACUGAUGUAUUUCGACCGGGUCCCCUUUGAUGGGGGUCUGGUUGUUUGUUUGAUCGUUUUGUGAUCGCAGAGUGUUGAUGAUCUGUCGUCCGGUGUUCGUUUGGUCUUGCGGGUUCCCCGUGUGUGG